This 374-nucleotide ribosomal RNA is filed under the name Peramphithoe orientalis. RNAcentral describes it as "partial large subunit ribosomal RNA". The record is from RNAcentral. Lineage: Eukaryota; Metazoa; Arthropoda; Malacostraca; Amphipoda; Ampithoidae.
UUGGAUACUGGAAUGAAUGAUUUUACAUUUAAAAUUUUUCUUAAAUUUUAAAAUUUAUAACUUAGAGUUUAAGUAAAAAUACUUUAAAUAUAUUAAAAAGACGAUAAGACCCUAAAAGCUUUAAAUUAUUUUAAUUAAUCAAUAAAAUAAAAUUAGAUUUAAUUUUUUACUGGGGUAGUACUAUUAUUGGUUUAUUAAUUUUAAAUUUAUAAUUUUAUAUUCCUUAAAAUUAGGAUAUAAAUUAGUUACUUUAGGGAUAACAGCGCGAUAGUAUUGAAGAGAACGUAUCUAUAAUACUGAUUACGACCUCGAUGUUGAAUUAAUAAAUCUAUUUAAAGCAGUGUUUAAAAAAGAAGGUUUGUUCAACCUUUAAU